AUGACCUCCUCCGCCUUCUAUGCUAGUCACCACCAGUCGCUCCCGCGCGAGAUGCAGGAGAGCGCACACGAGGCAGCCGCAGCUCGGCCUCUCCAUCUUCUCCGGUCGCUGCAAACCAUGGUGGAAGGUGGGCGGACGAGCUCCUCUCCAUCUUCUCCGCCCGUUGCAGGUAGAGAAGGGAACGGGCAGCUGGAGAUGGAGCAACACCGGUCGCCUCCGGGUGCGGCGGCUCUGGCGAGAUGGGAAGAGUGGAGGGAGGCGACAGCUGCGCUGGGAGUAGAGAGCGCCGAGCGGGGAAGGAGGGACGCGGGGGACCGCUCCGACCCGGCCGCCCUCCAUGGCGUCGCCGCCAAGGCGCGCGGAUGGAGGAGGAGAAGAGGACGCGGCGCGCGGAUGGAGGAGGCGGCACGGAUGGAGGAGGAGGCAAGGACGCGGCUAGGGUUCAUGGGGAAGACGCAGUCUGCGCGGUCUCGCUCCUGCCCGCGCUGCCUGCCUUUUUGGCCCGCUGAAAAGAGUAAAAUGCCCUUGGCCCAUUGA
Molecule: ribosomal RNA, 537 nt
Filed under: Triticum aestivum (bread wheat)
Lineage: Eukaryota; Viridiplantae; Streptophyta; Magnoliopsida; Poales; Poaceae
Description: partial small subunit ribosomal RNA
Source: RNAcentral